Molecule: transfer RNA, 46 nt
Filed under: Dryopteris sabae
Lineage: Eukaryota; Viridiplantae; Streptophyta; Polypodiopsida; Polypodiales; Dryopteridaceae
Also listed under: 1 other name
Description: partial tRNA-Leu
Source: RNAcentral
AUCCGUUGGUUUUACAUGACCGUGAGGGUUCGAUUCCCUCUAUCCC